Molecule: unclassified non-coding RNA, 21 nt
Filed under: Mus musculus (house mouse)
Lineage: Eukaryota; Metazoa; Chordata; Mammalia; Rodentia; Muridae
Description: oocyte_clustered_small_RNA5772
Source: RNAcentral
UCCCGGUGGUACCCAGGUCCG